RNAcentral lists this long non-coding RNA (232 nucleotides) under Mytilus galloprovincialis (Mediterranean mussel). The record is from RNAcentral. Lineage: Eukaryota; Metazoa; Mollusca; Bivalvia; Mytilida; Mytilidae.
AUGAAAAAUUCCAUAUAUUGAUACUAUUAUUAACCAACUAUAAGGCAACUUCAAUCAAGUCCAUUCAAGAACAGUCUUCGAGUCUUGAUCCAAAUACAGCUGUUAAACCAUGAAUUUAUAACAGGACCAAUACAGAAAAUGCCAGUUCAUAACACUUUUAGUAAAAGGUUUUAAUUCUUCGAUUAAACAAAGAGUAAGAAUCUUACCGUAAAGAAGAUACAUCAUACAGGAA